RNAcentral lists this ribosomal RNA (512 nucleotides) under uncultured Clostridiaceae bacterium. RNAcentral describes it as "bacterial SSU rRNA". It matches the Rfam family "Bacterial small subunit ribosomal RNA", at positions 1 to 526 of the family's 1533-position model. Lineage: Bacteria; Bacillati; Bacillota; Clostridia; Eubacteriales; Clostridiaceae. The record is from RNAcentral.
UAGAGUUUGAUCCUGGCUCAGGAUGAACGCUGGCGGCGUGCCUGACACAUGCAAGUCGAGCGGAGAAGUGGAAGUACUUGUACGGAAACUUCUUAGCGGCGGACGGGUGAGUAACACGUGAGUAAUCUGCCUUGAACUGGGGAAUAACACAGUGAAAAUUGUGCUAAUACCGCAUAAUGUCACGACCUGGCAUCAGGUUGUGACCAAAGGAGUAAUCCGGUUUGAGAUGAACUCGCGUCCGAUUAGGUAGUUGGUGAGGUAACGGCCCACCAAGCCGACGAUCGGUAGCCGAAYUGAGAGGUUGAUCGGCCACAUUGGGACUGAGACACGGCCCAGACUCCUACGGGAGGCAGCAGUGGGGAAUAUUGGGCAAUGGGCGAAAGCCUGACCCAGCAACGCCGCGUGAAGGACGAAGGCCUUCGGGUUGUAAACUUCUUUGAUCAGGGACGAAUAAAUGACGGUACCUGAAGAACAAGCCACGGCUAACUACGUGCCAGCAGCCGCGGUAAUAC